This 468-nucleotide ribosomal RNA is filed under the name uncultured bacterium. RNAcentral's name for it is "partial 16S ribosomal RNA". It matches the Rfam family "Bacterial small subunit ribosomal RNA", at positions 28 to 507 of the family's 1533-position model. The record is from RNAcentral.
GACGAACGCUGGCGGCGUGCUUAACACAUGCAAGUCGAACGGAAAGGCCCUGCUUUUGUGGGGUGCUCGAGUGGCGAACGGGUGAGUAACACGUGAGUAACCUGCCCUUGGCUUUGGGAUAACUUCAGGAAACUGGGGCUAAUACCGGAUAGGAGCUCCUGCUGCAUGGUGGGGGUUGGAAAGUUUCGGCGGUUGGGGAUGGACUCGCGGCUUAUCAGCUUGUUGGUGGGGUAGUGGCUUACCAAGGCUUUGACGGGUAGCCGGCCUGAGAGAGUGACCGGCCACAUUGGGACUGAGAUACGGCCCAGACUCCUACGGGAGGCAGCAGUGGGGAAUAUUGCACAAUGGGCGGAAGCCUGAUGCAGCAACGCCGCGUGCGGGAUGACGGCCUUCGGGUUGUAAACCGCUUUCGCCUGUGACGAAGCGUGAGUGACGGUAAUGGGUAAAGAAGCACCGGCUAACUACGUG